Molecule: long non-coding RNA, 3468 nt
Organism: Fukomys damarensis (Damara mole-rat)
Lineage: Eukaryota; Metazoa; Chordata; Mammalia; Rodentia; Bathyergidae
Source: Ensembl
CCCUAGAGAGCAGGCACUGAGGAGCCGGAGGGGGGCUGCUAAUGCCCUUGCCGGUUUCAUUCCAGAGCUGAUGAGUACCAGGCCGCCCAGGCCACUCUGGCCAGAACCUUCCAGGGUCGGUUUGACAAAUUCAUGGUCCCCUGCGCUGUUGCCAGCGGUGACGUCAAAGACAAGAGGGAACUGGAACCCCUGAGCUUCAGCCCGCACAACAUGCUGUACCUGGAGCUGUGGUGUCCUGCAGUGGCUCCAGCUGUCGUGGUGACCUCAGACAGAGGCAAAACUGUCAUCGACUUCGGCCACAUUGCUGUGGGGCAUCACAGCAUCAAGAAGGUCUCCCUCCAGAACAUCUGCCUGGAGGACUUGGCCGUGGACUUCUCUGUACUGAACCCCCAAGGCCCCUUCUUCCUGGUGAACACCCCCAGCAGGCUGCGCGCUGGUGAGACCCGGGUCCUGGCACUGUCCUUCUCACCCCACGAGAGUGUCCUGGCUCAGGAAAGGCUGGAGGUCGUCACCAAGAGAGGUGCGCUCCCCCUCACCCUGCUGGGCACCGGCGUGGCAUCCCUGAUCACGUGCUCCCUUGAUGGCGAUGUCCUGGACAUGGGCUACGUGCUCGCCAGAGAGUCCAUCUCCAUGGGCUUCAAGCUGCAGAACGACUCCUUGCUGCCCAUCAAGUUCUCCGUGCAGCUGGACAGCCUCUCAGGCUCCAGGGCCCCCACCCAGAAGGAGCUGCCACAGUUCCUCACCACUCAGCCCCAGAGGACAGACAUCGUGGGCACACAGAACCACAGCGGCCAGAGCGUGUUCAGCGUGACCCCGGUCACCGGCAUCAUGGACCCUGGGAGAGCGCAGGACUUCACCGUGACCUUCAGCCCCGACCACGAGAGUCUGUACUUCUCCGACCGGCUCCAGGUGGUGCUCUUUGAAAAGAAAGUCUCUCACCAGAUCCAGCUGAAGGGCGCCGCCCGCGAACACAUGAUGUUCGUGGAGGGCGGGGACCCCCUGGAUGUGCCCGUGGAGUCCCUGACCAUGAUCCCAGCCUCUGACACUGAGCACAGAGAAGAGGCUGAGGAGCUAAAGCCUGUCCUGCUGACCCUGAACUACAUCCAGCUCAACACAGACCAGCCAGCCCCACCUGCUGCCAGGGAGCUGCGGGUGGGCUGCAUCCGGACCACACAACCGUCUCUAAAGAAGACUGUGGAGUUUGGCCUGGACGGCAUCGCAUGGCUGCAACACAAAGGUUUCUCCAUCGAGCCAUCCAGGGGCUCCGUGGACCGAGGCCAGACCAAGACCAUCAGUGUCUCCUGGGCACCACCUGCUGACUUUGAUCCAGACCAGCCGCUCAUGGUGUCCACCCUACUGCAGCUCAGGGGGGACGUGAAGGAGAGCUACAAAGUCAUCUUUGUAGCCCACGUGGUGACAGCCCUCUAGGGCCACAGAAGCCUCUCCCAGCCUGAGACCCUCCUCCCACAGCAGAUGUCCUCCCCAGCCAGGCCAGGCCAACUUGACAAGACCCAGGCUCCCAGUCCCACAAACAUGGCCACUUCCAGCCAGCCCAGAGCCCAAGAGCAUCCCUUCCCUGAACCCAGUCCAGUUUAUGGCUGGUUCCUACUCAGAAAAGCCCCAGUCCCAGGACCCAGUGAACUUGAGGGGCCUCAAGCAAGCUGCCCCAUGGACCUUUAAUAAAUGCUCUGUGAGCCAAUAUGUACAGCGUGCAGUGUGGAUGGCAAGCACAGGACUCAAGGCAGGACAGAGCCUGGGGAAGCACCCCCACACAUAGUCCAUAAUGAAGCAAGAUGUGGGGCAAGGACCUAGGGAAGGUGGAGUCGUAACAGGCAUCCCUGGAGAGACCCUUGGGAGCCCCCAAACCCACCAGCACAGGGUGCAAGGCUGGAGUUGAGACUCCCCAGACUGGAGAGAUGCAGGGAGGAGGGGAAGGGACAGGAUUGGAGCCCAGGGCCCCUAGCUUCUCCUGAUGAUCCCAAGGAAGGGCUAAGCAAGUGUUGGGCCAUUUCACCCACUUCCUUCCUGAGCUCAGCUGGGGCCAGGCAGGUCCAGUUUGUGAAUAUGAGUGUCCACCUGAUCAAAAAAAGUCUGGGUUCUGCCCUCAGGGCCUGACCCACCCUCCAAGGGACCAGACAAACCCAACUGUGAGUGGCUCCUGCUCUCCACCCCACCCCAGGCUGUGCUUGUUCCUCAUCUCCCCAAGCACCUACCUGCCUGGCCCUUUGCUAAGCACCGCCCACCCACCCUGCAGCCAGGAGAAACUGGCCCUUCCUGGCCUGGGGGUGGAGGGGCUGGGAAUCCUUUUGCUUUCCUGGCACUGCUGGGCUCCUGAGGUACUGGCAGCUGGCUUUGCCUCUCACCAGCCAGUGGCACUGAUCUGGAGUGGUCUGGGGGACUUCUGUCCAGGGCCCCUGGAGGAAGCAGACCCAGCCAGGCACUUGCUGCUUUCCCUAGAGCUGACUAUAUGCAGCCCCAGACCCUUGCUGUGUCAGGUGGAAAGGCAGGAAGUCCCCAGGUGGGGAGGGCCACAGAGGCCCUGCCUGGGCCCAGCCCAGCCCAGUCUCCACCCCACUCGGGUACUGGUCCUCCAGGACCAAGCACAGCCAAGACAGGACUGGCAGGACUGGGAGGAGGGAGGGGCCAAGCUCCAAACUGGGGCUGGGCGGGCAGGCAGGGGCCCUGCAAGCUGAGUGAAAGUCGUCCCUGCGGGUGCAGGACAGCUGUAGGCAGAGCCCUGCCGGCCCUGGUCACUUCCCCUCUAGGGAGACACAGAGCAGGUGUCCACACGUGCAUGUGCUGAACACAGAGAGGAAAGACAGGUGGGCGGGGCGGCAAGGCAAGCAGGGGGCAGAGCAGCACAGUGAGAGGGCGGCAGGAGCCCGGGCCCUCGCCAAGCCGGAAUGAGAAGCAACCAGGCUGAGGGAGAUGAGCUGGCUCCUCGAGCAGGACGAGGGCUGCAAAGGAGAGUGUUUUUGGAAAGCCGUCUGCAUCCAGCGCCUCAAUGACCCUGACUGAAAGAGUCUCCUCACCCCUGUUGCGGGGAUCGCUGACGGGUAUGAGGAUGAACCCCAUUUGCCCAGUGAGAUCACCCCCAGUAUGACUCCAACACAGUUUUCCAGGAGAGCUGGGGUGGGUUGGAGCAGGCCACGCCCCGCCUGGUGCAGGACCGCGUGAUCAGGCUGGAAGACCCUGAGCCGGUGGGGGAAGUGGGCGGGGCCUCCGGGACCGGGGCGUGGUUACAGAUGGGGCCUCCCAGGGACCGGUUCUCUGGUGGUCUGGGAGUUCUUCAUGGGGCGGGGCCUCGCGUGGGCACCACCUGAUGUUGGCGGGGACAUGGCUAAUGAGGCGGGGGCAUCGCGGCGGCGGGCGUGGUUUGGGCGUGGCCUCCUUUGCCCGGUCGGGGGCGGGGCCGCAUAAAGUCGUGCGGGGCGGCCUCAGUGCUGCCGUCUGGCAGAGCAUGGCCUC